CCAGUUUUAAAUUACUAAAAUUCACGUAAAAAUUUAAAACUAAAAAGUUUCAAAUCCUUGAAUACUUUAAAACCUCAAAAUUUCUAAACAGUCUCACGUUCGAAUACAAAUAAUACAAUAAAUCACUAAGCGGAAGCAAAAUUUUAAAGUGUCCCCUGUGGCGAUCACGCUUCCUUCCUGCCCCUCGCCGGUUUGCCGCCUUUAUUACCUUUGCCUGAAAAAUUAAACAUAAGGAGGGUGAAUAUAAAAAUACCCAGUAAGCGACCCUCUACUGGUCCCGUCAGGGAAAAAUAAAUUGUUAACAUUCUAUUGGGACACCCUGCACAGUCGCAGUCUUGUGAUCCGUAGGAUGCACAUUUCAGUCUAACGCCCCGAGAGACGUACAUUUCAGUCUAGUGUUCUGCAGAAACACAUAUCAGUCUAAUGCUCCGAAGGUCGCAUAAAAAUUGGUGAUCCCGUAGGACACCUACAAGGCAUACAUCCCAAUAAAACUAACAAUUUUUCCCCUCAAUCCAUUCUAACUAUCUUUACGAUAAUUUAUGACAUCUUUCAGUUACUUCAAAUAUCAAGUUCUUUCACUCAACAUUCUAACAGUCAACCUAUCUCACUUAAGUUCGAAGGUCGUUGAUAACAUUUUAAUACAUCCGUCAAGUAAACCACAAAGUCACAACACCCCUCAUUUUACCAGCGCAAACCACAGUUCAUUAUAACACACACCCAACUGAAACAAAUUCACCAAUUCACAUCCAAAAUUUUAUACAGCACAGUCUACUAAUAUCAUCCUAUCUACAUCCACACCUGCAUGUUUAAUCCCAGACAAUCUCCAUAUAUAUUCAACAUCAAAUCUGCGUCAAUUUAUGUAUAUGCAUAAUUUCAGUCAUUCACAGUAUACAUUCAACAAUCCACAUCAAUCCAUUCAUAAAUAUAUGUAUAUUAUAUAUAUAUAUAUAUAUAUAUAUAUAUAUAUAUUUCCAGUUAAACACAAUAUACACUAAACAUUUAAUCUGCAACCAAAUGUGUAUAUCAUAACCAUCAUCUUUACUAAGUUUCGAUAUAAGGAUAUCGUCCAACACAACUGAAAACUUUAGGUGAGUCCAGUAGAAAGUCCCUUACCUCAAGUUUACGUAAAGUUCUUUAAUCGUACUAAAUCCAAUAAAUUAAAUUCCAAGUAGAAUGAAACAACAAUUCCAAUGAAGCUCACUUCGAAACAUAGAUAUCAAGCACGACUCUCCAAUAUCACCUUAAAAUCAAGCAAUACCCAAAUCAAUUAAUCAAUUUAAAACUUACGCUAGCCAAGAACAAUACUACUAAAUCCACAAUUUCUCCUUACCAAUGAAAUCACAACAUAACUUUGACGAUUGACAAUAAAAUAGAAUCAGCGACAAUCGAAUGAAAUUGAUGCGUGCAAAACAGAUAUGCACUACAAUAAAGAUGGACGUCAGACCGCGACUGGAAAACGGGGAGUUGCGCGACAGAUGAGGACUUCACGAUGCACAACUGUUGGAUGCUACACGGCUCGUAUCUGAACGACGAGCGUCGGCAAAACUAUUGGGACGGGGCUACCGGUGGGGACACGGCGUUGGGACGGGGCUACCGAUGGGGACACGGCGUUGCAGAUCUGGACAACGGCACGGAGAGACACGGCGUUACAGGCGGAUGGGCGCGGCGGUUUUAGAUUCAAGAAGAAAGAAGUGUGGCGACUGGGUUUCAGUUUCGGUGAACGAAAUGUGACGAAAAUCACGGCGGCUGGACUUCACGAUGGAGACCGGUGUAGACGUAGCCGGAGAACGACAAGGUGAGAGGGACGUGACGCCGAUGACACCAACCGACGACGACGACGACUUCAACUUCAAUGGAAGAUCGAGACGAUCGGCGGUCGACUGCAGAUCUGAAAGGAAAGAAAAGGAAAAAGAAAAAGAAAGAUGGGGGAGGCUAUGGAGGCUAGGGUAUUGGAUGAAGUAGGAGAAGAAGAGAAAAAAAAAAAAAGAAGGAAGAAGACGGGGAAGGGUCACGCGCGGGAGAGAGGAAGAGAGA
RNAcentral lists this long non-coding RNA (2034 nucleotides) under Cucumis sativus (cucumber). Its description in RNAcentral is "long non-coding RNA (CSAT_LNC002962)". The record is from RNAcentral. Lineage: Eukaryota; Viridiplantae; Streptophyta; Magnoliopsida; Cucurbitales; Cucurbitaceae.